RNAcentral lists this ribosomal RNA (597 nucleotides) under Debaryomyces hansenii. Its description in RNAcentral is "eukaryotic LSU rRNA". It matches the Rfam family "Eukaryotic large subunit ribosomal RNA", at positions 46 to 658 of the family's 3401-position model. The record is from RNAcentral. Lineage: Eukaryota; Fungi; Ascomycota; Pichiomycetes; Serinales; Debaryomycetaceae.
CAAAGCGGAGGAAAAGAAACCAACAGGGAUUGCCUUAGUAACGGCGAGUGAAGCGGCAAAAGCUCAAAUUUGAAAUCUGGCACCUUCGGUGUCCGAGUUGUAAUUUGAAGAAGGUAACUUUGGAGUUGGCUCUUGUCUAUGUUCCUUGGAACAGGACGUCACAGAGGGUGAGAAUCCCGUGCGAUGAGAUGCCCAAUUCUAUGUAAAGUGCUUUCGAAGAGUCGAGUUGUUUGGGAAUGCAGCUCUAAGUGGGUGGUAAAUUCCAUCUAAAGCUAAAUAUUGGCGAGAGACCGAUAGCGAACAAGUACAGUGAUGGAAAGAUGAAAAGAACUUUGAAAAGAGAGUGAAAAAGUACGUGAAAUUGUUGAAAGGGAAGGGCUUGAGAUCAGACUUGGUAUUUUGCGAUCCUUUCCUUCUUGGUUGGGUUCCUCGCAGCUUACUGGGCCAGCAUCGGUUUGGAUGGUAGGAUAAUGACUAAGGAAUGUGGCUCUACUUCGGUGGAGUGUUAUAGCCUUGGUUGAUACUGCCUGUCUAGACCGAGGACUGCGUCUUUUGACUAGGAUGUUGGCAUAAUGAUCUUAAGCCACCCGUCUUGAC